AGGAUUAUAGUUAAUUAUAAUAUUUGAUUUGCAUUCGAAAGGUGUUGUAAAAUUACAGCUAAUCUUA
RNAcentral lists this transfer RNA (67 nucleotides) under Hutchinsoniella macracantha. Its description in RNAcentral is "tRNA-Ala". It matches the Rfam family "tRNA". Rfam says of the family: Transfer RNA (tRNA) molecules are approximately 80 nucleotides in length. Their secondary structure includes four short double-helical elements and three loops (D, anti-codon, and T loops). Lineage: Eukaryota; Metazoa; Arthropoda; Cephalocarida; Brachypoda; Hutchinsoniellidae. The record is from RNAcentral.